Long non-coding RNA from Macaca mulatta (Rhesus monkey), 746 nucleotides. RefSeq lists it as uncharacterized. NCBI's taxonomy places the organism in Eukaryota, Metazoa, Chordata, Mammalia, Primates, Cercopithecidae. The record is from RefSeq and is a predicted model, not a curated record.
GCAACCCUUCCACCUCAGCCUCUUGCGUAGCUGGGACCACAGGAAAAACCAGGCCAUACAGAGACGGGAGCUGAGGGGACAUAGUAAGAAGUAACCAGAAGACAAGAAUGCGAGCCUUCUGUAAUGCCUGGGUAGGGCCACCAGAGGGCGCCUUGGUCUAGCAGUAAUGCCAGCGUCUGGGAAGAUGCCCGUUGCCAAGUGGACUGUGGUCUAGCGGUAGCGUCAAUGUCAAGGAAAAACACCCGCUACUUAGCAGACCGGGAAAGGGAGUCUCCCUUUCCCUGGAGGAGUUCAGAGAGGACUCCACUCCUUCACCUCUUGUGGAGGUCAGGCCCACCUGCAGUUAUCCGGAGGCCUAACCGUCUCCCUGUGAUGCUGUGCUUCAGCGGCCACACUCCUAGUCCGCUUUCAUGUUCCAUCCUGUACACCUGGCUCUGCCUUUUAGAUAGCAGUAGCAAAUUAGUGAAAGUACUAAAAGUCUGUGAUAUGCAGAAAUAAUAGUGUAAGCUGUCUCCCUCUCUCUCCUAUCUUUCUCUCUGUCUCGGCUGCCAGGCAGGGAAGGGCCCUCUGUCCAGUGGACACGUGACCCAUGUGACCUUACCUAUCAUUGGAGAUGGCUCUCACUCCUUACCCUGCCCCUUUGUCUGGUAUCCAAUAAAUAUCAGUGCAACCUGGCAUUUGGGGCCACUGCCAGUCUCCGUGUCUUGAUGGUAGUGGUCCCCCAGGCCCAACUGUCUUUUCUUUUA